GGGGAUUUAGCUCAGCAGUAGAGCGCUUGCCUAGCAAGCGCAAGGCCCUGGGUUCGGUUCCCAGCUCCG
This 69-nucleotide transfer RNA is filed under the name Rattus norvegicus (Norway rat). It matches the Rfam family "tRNA". From Rfam's summary of the family: Transfer RNA (tRNA) molecules are approximately 80 nucleotides in length. Their secondary structure includes four short double-helical elements and three loops (D, anti-codon, and T loops). Lineage: Eukaryota; Metazoa; Chordata; Mammalia; Rodentia; Muridae. The record is from Rfam by way of RNAcentral.